RNAcentral lists this long non-coding RNA (2494 nucleotides) under Phoenix dactylifera (date palm). RNAcentral's name for it is "long non-coding RNA (PDAC_LNC012481)". The record is from RNAcentral. Lineage: Eukaryota; Viridiplantae; Streptophyta; Magnoliopsida; Arecales; Arecaceae.
UGACCACCAAGGUGGUAGCUCAGUAGGAACGGAACGUUUACUUUCAACCAAGUGGUUCCAGGUUCGAAACGCGCGGACGUCGAUUAAAUUUGGGGACCGAAUGCUCCACGCCUGGACACAGGGUCUGGAAGUGCUACUGGUCGGCUGAUAGGCUGGGUGGUGCCAGGUGUGACGUACUCACACGGAGGGUCGGGUUGGGUAACCGAGCCGACUCACGGGUGGGAAGGGUAUAAGUAAAAUAGGUCGGCGUGCCCAACACACGACCCGGUUUGCCCGCAUCGAACAUUCUCCUGGCGGGGUGGGGGGCCCAGUGGAGGCUGCUACGCGGGGUUGGGCUUGUCCCUUCCUCCCCCCUGCUCCCUUUUUUUUUAGCAAAAAAAAAAAAAGAAUACAAUAUUGUCAUUCCCAUGACAGCAAUAAUUUUAACGUUCAAUGAGAAACCCCUGUCCUAGAAUAUCCUAAUGACAUUUCAAUUUUUUUCAUUAUCAGAGUGUCCCUGCAAGUUUUUAUCUUCACAAAUUUCCGUCGAACCCCUCCUGUCUAAUGAACUCCAUUUCUUAGCUUUUCCUAUGAAAAUUAAUCACGUCUCAUUAGCUCCAUGGAAGAACCAGACUCAUAGUGCUUAUUAUGCUAGAAGAAAAUUUGGUAUGCUUGUUAAAAGAUUCGCAGUUAAUGCUUCUUUUGAUGAGUUGUUUUGGAUCCGCCAUACUUCUAUCCCAAACAUUGAUGGACUUGUAACAAAAAAAAAAAAAAACCUAAAAAAGGAGCAGAAGAGAAAAGUAUAAGCAUAAAACAUAAUUUUCAAGGGUAGGAGUCCAUAUUCUUUUACUCAGCAAUAAUGAUGAUGAUUUGAUGAUAUAGACCUGAGCCACAAGUCUUAGAACAACAACAAUAACAGUAGAAGAGCACUUAAAAUAUAGAGGUGUUAUAUAGCUCUCCGUUGUAAGCUGAACACGCCCAAACAUGACAUCAGCCUUGGGCUGCUUAUUUAGUGCAUGGAUUGAUACAAAGUGAAGGUAAUAUAUGUUCGACCACAGAGCGGUCAAUGGCCCCUGAUACUAGUAUAGAUAAGGUUUUUGUGGCAAUUAUGGUGUGGGAGGACGACCACGGCAUCCGUAGAUCCUUUUGCAGGGAAGUCGAUGCACUGGUGGAGGGGGAGGCACUGGUGGAGGGGGACGGCAUCUGUAGAUCCCUCUGCAGGGACGUGGAUACACCACUGGUGGAGAGGGAAGGCAUCGGCCGUAAGGCUUGCCCUUGCCCACUACACAUGGUUGCCUACUCGGCGCUAACGCACCACGAGAAAUAUGCCCAGCAUCCGCAGGCUUCUGGCCAUCAACUUCUGCACAAACCAAUUGUCAAUUAUUAUUUGCAUUAACUUAGAGGGAAAGAUGUAUUUAAUUUUCUUUUUAAGAUAAAAGAUCGAAAUUUAUAACGUUCCAACAGCAUUCACCAAGAUCUACAUUUGCCAUUCAUUUUUUUAAAAGGAAAAAUAAUUGAAGGAAGUUUCUUACCUCCAUUCUAAACUAGUUUUACUAGAUUAUACUAGGUUAUGAAGGAGACAAAGUAAGUUAAAUUCCCAUUCAACUAUUUUAACAUAGCAGUAUGAUGUGUUACAGAUAGUGAUGUCAAACCAAUUGAGUGAGCAGGUCAAACUCAGAUCAAGCUUCAGCUUGAGAAAAACUCAAAUUGUAGAUAAAUAAAUUAAAUUUGAAUCAAUAAAACAAGCUUUUAUUGUGUACGUGAGUGCGUUUGUAUAGAUAGGUACACAGAUAGAUAGAUAAUGGAUUUUUGAAUUAGGACUUUGAUUAAUAUAAUUCUUUUAAUCAAUUAAAUAUUAAUUUAGACUUGAGUCAAGCUUAAAAUCAAGCUAUAAUUCAAACUCAAUUUAAGAUUAUUGAGCUGAUCAAGUACACCCGUCUUCGAGUUGGUUCGAAAUUAAGCUUGAAAUAUUGAUAAGAAAAAUCGAACUUGAUCUUCGAGUUUCUAGCUUAAAAUUAGUUUCAAAUUAAGCUUAAUCAGGCCCAAGCUUAAUCAGACCCAAGCUUGAUUAAGCUUAGCUCUCUUAGACCCCUAGCCCUUGAUGGCAGCAUGUGGGCAACCAGUCUAAUUCAUGUCAGGCCUCUUCCACUUUCAGAUGGAAGGCAUCUAUUUUGUGCAUAAAAAAUUCUAAUACAUGCCUGAUAAUACCACUUGUGGUAACUCAAUAUUAAACCACCCCUACCUAUCACAUUAAUUUUCAAAGAGUAAACUUGUCCCUUCAUAUCAUGCAGCCAGAGAACAUUAUGUGCCUACAGAUGUCCCUAUCUUUAUUGCUUCAAAUAUGAGAUAAAUUUCUUGUAAUAAAGUGGGAAAGCUGGAAAAAAAAAAGAGAACAAAAAAGAAUGGUUUGGCUCUAACUUAUGUUUUACUCCAUAUUCUAGCUACAACUUAUGCGAUAUUAAUUAAAAGAAAGCAAUAUAUUUUUCAUAAAAGAAGUAAAUUGGGAGAUUAAAAA